GUCGUAAUUUGCUAGUCAGUCAGUCAGUGUCGGAUUCCGGGCGACAUUGCGUACGCUUUGCCCUUUGAUUUGAAAAUAUAUAAUUUUAGCAUUAUUAAAAUCGUUUUUUUUUUUGUUUUGUUAUCUUUGCUACACUCGAUAUUAUUGCUUCCGCUGUAUCAAAGCUAGCGGAUUAGUCUAAAUGUCUGUACAAUGUAUAGUAAUAUUUCUUUUCAUGACUUGUUU
Molecule: long non-coding RNA, 225 nt
Filed under: Mytilus galloprovincialis (Mediterranean mussel)
Lineage: Eukaryota; Metazoa; Mollusca; Bivalvia; Mytilida; Mytilidae
Source: RNAcentral